RNAcentral lists this non-coding RNA (23 nucleotides) under Mus musculus (house mouse). The record is from RNAcentral. Lineage: Eukaryota; Metazoa; Chordata; Mammalia; Rodentia; Muridae.
UGCUAGUGAUGCGUGUGAAGUAC